Molecule: non-coding RNA, 73 nt
Organism: Ixodes scapularis (black-legged tick)
Lineage: Eukaryota; Metazoa; Arthropoda; Arachnida; Ixodida; Ixodidae
Source: Rfam
UCCUGGUUAGCUCAGUAGGCAGAGCGCUCCACUGGAAACGGAGAGGUCCUUGGUUCGAUACCAGGACCAGGCG